This 198-nucleotide ribosomal RNA is filed under the name uncultured bacterium. RNAcentral describes it as "partial 16S ribosomal RNA". It matches the Rfam family "Bacterial small subunit ribosomal RNA", at positions 328 to 539 of the family's 1533-position model. The record is from RNAcentral.
ACGCUCGACACCUACUGGAGGCAGCAGUGGGGGAUAUUGCACAAUGGGGGAAACCCUGAUGCAGCGACGCCGCGUGAGGGAAGAAGGUUUUCGGAUUGUAAACCUCUGUCCUCAGUGACGAUAAUGACGGUAGCUGAGGAGGAAGCCACGGCUAACUACGUGCCAACAGCCGCGGUAAUCUGAGCGGGCUGGCAAGGC